RNAcentral lists this ribosomal RNA (497 nucleotides) under uncultured bacterium. RNAcentral describes it as "partial 16S ribosomal RNA". It matches the Rfam family "Bacterial small subunit ribosomal RNA", at positions 28 to 507 of the family's 1533-position model. The record is from RNAcentral.
GAUGAACGCUGGCGGCGUGCCUAAUACAUGCAAGUCGAGCGAACAGACGAGGAGCUUGCUCCUCUGACGUUAGCGGCGGACGGGUGAGUAACACGUGGAUAACCUACCUAUAAGACUGGGAUAACUUCGGGAAACCGGAGCUAAUACCGGAUAAUAUAUUGAACCGCAUGGUUCAAUAGUGAAAGACGGUUUUGCUGUCACUUAUAGAUGGAUCCGCGCCGCAUUAGCUAGUUGGUAAGGUAACGGCUUACCAAGGCAACGAUGCGUAGCCGACCUGAGAGGGGAGUAGACACGCGUGGAGAUGGGCCGCGGUCCAGCCUCCACGGGAGGGGAGCGGGAGGGAAUUUUCGGCAAGGGGGGAGAGCAGACGGGGGCACGGCGGGGGGGGUAAUAAGGUUUUUGGGAGCUAAAACCUUUGUUAUAAGGGAAAAAAAAUUGUGAAAUAAACUUUGCACUUAUGGAGGGUCCCUAACAAGAAAGCCCCGACAAACUCCGGG